GUGACAGCCAAGAGACUGAAACCCUCAGUUUAUCCAUAGAACAGGUACACUCCAAGCAGUGGCUGAAUAGGUUUCUCUGUCAAUGAAUCUCACUUCUUACCUAGAAAACCCCCUUUAAAGGUGAAAGGGUAGUUUAGUCUUGGUCCCAAUCAAUCCUUUUCCCCU
Molecule: unclassified non-coding RNA, 165 nt
Organism: Chelonoidis abingdonii (Abingdon island giant tortoise)
Lineage: Eukaryota; Metazoa; Chordata; Testudines; Testudinidae
Source: Ensembl